UACGGAGGAUCCAAGCGUUAUCCGGAAUCAUUGGGUUUAAAGGGUCCGUAGGCGGUUUUGUAAGUCAGUGGUGAAAGCCCAUCGCUCAACGGUGGAACGGCCAUUGAUACUGCAAGACUUGAAUUACUAGGAAGUAACUAGAAUAUGUAGUGUAGCGGUGAAAUGCUUAGAUAUUACAUGGAAUACCAAUUGCGAAGGCGGGUUACUACUAGUUGAUUGACGCUGAUGGACGAAAGCGUGGGGAGCAAAACGG
RNAcentral lists this ribosomal RNA (253 nucleotides) under uncultured bacterium. RNAcentral's name for it is "partial 16S ribosomal RNA". It matches the Rfam family "Bacterial small subunit ribosomal RNA", at positions 524 to 776 of the family's 1533-position model. The record is from RNAcentral.